GACGAACGCUGGCGGCGUGCUUAACACAUGCAAGUCGAACGGAAAGGCCUUUUCGGAGGUACUCGAGUGGCGAACGGGUGAGUAACACGUGGGUGAUCUGCCCUGCACUCUGGGAUAAGCCUGGGAAACUGGGUCUAAUACCGGAUAGGACCGCACUUUAGUGUGUGUGGUGGAAAGUUUUUUCGGUGUAGGAUGAGCCCGCGGCCUAUCAGCUUGUUGGUGGGGUAAUGGCCUACCAAGGCGGCGACGGGUAGCCGGACUGAGAGGUUGGUCGGCCACAUUGGGACUGAGAUACGGCCCAGACUCCUACGGGAGGCAGCAGUGGGCAAUAUUGCACAAUGGGCGCAAGCCUGAUGCAGCGACGCCGCGUGGGGGAUGACGGCCUUCGGGUUGUAAACUCCUUUCGCCAGGGACGAAGCGUUUUGUGACGGUACCUGGAGAAGAAGCACCGGCUAACUACGUG
RNAcentral lists this ribosomal RNA (463 nucleotides) under uncultured bacterium. RNAcentral describes it as "partial 16S ribosomal RNA". It matches the Rfam family "Bacterial small subunit ribosomal RNA", at positions 28 to 507 of the family's 1533-position model. The record is from RNAcentral.